UGGAAGGCGGAAUUCUAAGGCAGAAUUCCCAGGGCUGACUUUGCCUCAGGCGUUACUCCUGUGAUUCUGUUAGGAUACACCGCAAAGGUGAUUUUGCGAAGGUGAAUAAAUUAGUUACUAACCAGCUGACCUUAGGUUAGGGAAACCAUUCAGGUGGACCUGAUCUAAUCACAUGGGCCCUUUAAAAUUGGAGAGUUUUCUUUGGCUGGAGGCAGAAGAGGAGACCCUAGAGACGCCAAGCCUGAGAAAGCACUCAACCUACAAUUCCUGGCUUUGAGGAUGGAGCAAGCGGGCAACAAGCCAAGGAAUCCUGAAAACCCUCGAUACCUGUCCCAGGUAGGAGGAGGAGCAGAGAACAGAAGGUUUCUGUGAAGCUGCAUUAAUCACCAAGGAGAGGCAGGUGGCUACAAACCCACAGAGUGUGACCCAGGGGACUGAAAACGCUUCUGUGAGGCUUGAUAAUAGCUCGUCUGGUGCAAGUGUGGUAGCUAUUGACAACAAAAUCGAGCAAGCUAUGGAUCUGGUGAAAAGCCAUUUGAUGCAUGCCGUCAGAGAGGAAGUGGAGGUCCUCAAAGAGCAAAUCAAAGAACUAAUAGAGAAAAAUUCCCAGCUGGAGCAGGAGAACAAUCUGCUGAAGACACUGGCCAGUCCUGAGCAGCUUGCCCAGUUUCAGGCCCAGCUGCAGACUGGUUACCCCUUGCCACCACCCAGCCAUAGGGCACCACACAGCCCCCUGCCGAGCCAGCAUCUCAGGGCUCAGGACCAACCACAUAGCUGCCUAUGUCCCCGCAGAACUGGCUGCUGUGUGUGAACUGAACAGACGGAGAAGAUGUGCUAGCGAGAAUCCGCCUCCACAGUCACCCAUUUCAUUGCUCGCUGCGAAAGAGACGUGAGACUGACAUACGCCGUUAUCUCUUUUUUCCAGUAUUAAACACUCAUAUACUUAUGGCUUGAAGAAAUUACUUAGUUGGGUGAAUGAAAGGUUAAUCCGAGAAUUAGCAUGUUAUACUGGGACCUCAUGCAGCCUGGCAGAUAUCUGAGAAAUGGUUUAAUUCAUGCUCAGGAGCUGUGUGCCUUUCCAUCCCUGCUGGCUCCCUACCCCUCACUGCCAAGGGUUCUCUCUCUUGCUUGCUCUUAGGGUACUACCUGGGGUUGGGAAGUGAUGGAACUCCUUACUGGACUGCCUCUCUCCUCCCCCCAGGGGGAACUUGAAAGAAGGGUAAAAGACUAAAAUGAGGGGGAACAGAGUUCACUGUACAAAUUGACUGUCACCAAAAUCCAUAAAAAACAAUAGUACUGUGCCUCUUUCUUCUUAAACAGUGGAUGACACAAAACUAUGAGAGUGACAAAAUGGUGACAGGUAGCUGGGACCUAAGCUAUCUUACCAUGAAGGUUGUUUUGCUUAGUGUAUAUUUGUGUAUGUAGUGUAACUAUUUUGUACAACAGAGGACUGUAACUACUAUUCAGCUGGUACAGAUUGAAACUUAGAUGUUUCGCUGGCUCUCUGAGGAGGUGUGGAUUUUAUAUAUAGAUCUACAUAAAAACUCCGACAUGACAGGAACCACACCUAAAGAAAUUUUAAGAAUUUGGCACAGUUACUCACUUUGUGUAAUUUGAGACCUAGCUGCUGAAUACCCUGAAGUAAAUCCCUGUUCACUGAAGUCUUUCCAUUGAGCUGGUCGAAUACUUUGAAAAUGCUGAGUUCUAGCUCGUGAAACAGAUUUCCCAGUAGGGGUGUCUGCAUAUCACCUGUAUAUCUAUAUGUUUCUGUGCAUGUUCUCUACACAGUUGUAAGGUGUCACUGUAUUUAACUGUUGCACUUGUCAACUUUCAAUGAAGCCUAUAAAAUGUUGAUAAAAAAAUUCAAGUUCA
This is an RNA transcript of Callithrix jacchus (white-tufted-ear marmoset), 1872 nucleotides long. It is a transcript of the gene named TSC22 domain family protein 1-like, with no coding region annotated. The record is from RefSeq and is a predicted model, not a curated record. Lineage: Eukaryota; Metazoa; Chordata; Mammalia; Primates; Cebidae.